AGAGUUUGAUCCUGGCUCAGAUUGAACGCUGGCGGCAUGCCUUACACAUGCAAGUCGAACGGUAACAGCACUUCGGUGGCUGACGAGUGGCGAACGGGUGAGUAAUACAUCGGAACGUGCCCGAGAGUGGGGGAUAACGCAGCGAAAGCUGUGCUAAUACCGCAUACGAUCUACGGAUGAAAGCAGGGGACCGCAAGGCCUUGCGCUCACGGAGCGGCCGAUGGCAGAUUAGGUAGUUGGUGGGAUAAAAGCUUACCAAGCCGACGAUCUGUAGCUGGUCUGAGAGGACGACCAGCCACACUGGGACUGAGACGCGGCCCAGACUCCUACGGGAGGCAGCAGUGGGGAAUUUUGGACAAUGGGCGAAAGCCUGAUCCAGCCAUGCCGCGUGCAGGAUGAAGGCCUUCGGG
RNAcentral lists this ribosomal RNA (410 nucleotides) under uncultured bacterium. Its description in RNAcentral is "bacterial SSU rRNA". It matches the Rfam family "Bacterial small subunit ribosomal RNA", at positions 8 to 422 of the family's 1533-position model. The record is from RNAcentral.